GUGCAGCAUGUGCCUUUUAGCGUUUUUGGCAAAACCAGACAAUGCUGCAUCGAAACAUGCCAGUCUGUAACCUUUUACUGAGUGGGGCCAUCCACUUUACAGGUUGCAUAGCUACCCAGACCUUCAGGAUGCUAAAACUCUUUGGCCUUCAGAGCAUAAGCGUAGACACCUUUUUCCGCCACCAGCGGUUGUACACAAUACCUACCAUUGUGCAUGCGUGGCAGAAUGAACAGGAAAGGGUCAUUCGAGACCUGAAUGAGAUGAGUGGUGGCCUGAUCCUGUCUGGUGACUGCAGAUCAGAUUCUCCUGGCCGUUGUGCUAAAUAUGGCACAUACUCUUUGAUUGAGGACAGAAUUAACAAGGUUUUAGACAUUCAACUUGUCCAGAGCUCUGAGGUUCCAAGUAGCUCUUGGUGUGAGCUGGAAGGUCUAAAGCGCAGCAUAAGGUUUUUGAAUGAGAAACGCAUGCAUGUGUCAGCCCUCAUCACAGACAGAAAUCGCCAGGUCUAGGGAAGGCUUUGGAUGCUGCUGCAAAGGAUAGAGAGUGUAAAGAUUUAAAGCUGUGGAGGCCAGCUGUAAUUAAUCACCUCUACUGGACUGCAGCCUCCACUCCUAAUGGAGAUGCAGAUGUGAUGGAGGCCAAGUGGAAAAGUAUGGUCAACCACACAACAGUCCUGUGUUCCCCUGCUGUGCACAUCCACCUCUGGAAGGGGAAGCAAGGAACAAGGAGUGGCUGGAACCAGGAUCAACAGUAGCAGUUAAACUGGAGUGUGUGGCCAUGAGACAAGCACUGGUUAAGGAUAUUCAGCAGCUGUCACCACAGCAUCAGACAUUUUCACUGGAGGCAUUUCACUCCCUUAUCCUGCACUUUGCACCUAAGCACACUGGAUUCUCCUUCCUUGGGAUGUACAGCAGACUUCUCCUGGCAGCCAUGCACUUUAACCACAAUGGUAGCAGAGAAGUUGCUCGAACCAGUGAUGGUGAGCUGUGUUACGCGGUUCGAUACCCAAGGUUCCGCAAAGGUGGCUGGGUAGUCCGUCCUGUUAAGGAAAAACCAUCAUACGCAUAUGCAUCAGCCCUCAUGGAGUCUCUGACAGUGGAAUACUCGAGGUCACCACAGGCUUUACGAGAGCGAAGCAGUUCUUUGUUAUCAAGUUGUCCUGCGCCCCUUUCCAGAUCCCUCCAGAGGAUUAACAAAAAAGAGGCUGGUGGAGUGUAUCUGGCACAGCAUUCACGUUUUAGCAAACAUUAAAUAUUUUAAUGUAGACAUUAGCAUGUCUUUAAAGUAUUUAUUAAAAACAUUUAAGUGCUGUUUAACAAUUAAACAUUUUUAAUUAAGAUAAUUCUAUUUUUUAACUAACAAGAUUUUACAAAAUAAUUAAUAGUAGAAUAAAAACAAAAUUCAAGCAAUGUCUUUUUUCUGUUACUGAAAAAGGUAAUACAAUUCAAAGGAGGGCUUAUCAUUUCUACUGUAUGACAGUUACAAUGCUGUGCUUUGAGUUGGGUUAUAACUAAAAAUAUUUCCAAUGAUUUUGCACCAUAUGAAUAACACUUGAAUUAGGGUCGAUAAGACUUGAAUUAUACGAACCUAUACAGAUUUGUUUAUUUAAUCUUUGACAUUUUACACAGUGAGACAUCUUGUAUUUUUAUUGAUUGUCACCAAAUUGGGGCCAUUCAAAACCUUUGUAAACUCCUCCCUCUGCUGGAAACUGUCGUCUGAUAGCUGAAACAACACAUGCAGGUAAGGGCUUCCUGAUGUGUCUGCCCAGAAUGCCAUAGGCCCAGCGGACAACUUGUCUAUAUGCUGUGUAGUGGUAUUGUCUAGAGUUAAGGACAAAGUGUCAAUACUGGUUAUCUUGUGCUGUUAGCAAAUAAACAAAAACAAGCAUUA
Danio rerio (zebrafish) is the source of this 1890-nucleotide non-coding RNA. NCBI's taxonomy places the organism in Eukaryota, Metazoa, Chordata, Actinopteri, Cypriniformes, Danionidae. The record is from RefSeq and is a predicted model, not a curated record.